UUAAGAAAUAUUUACUCCUGAUACAGCUGUUAAUGAGAAUGAUGUUGAUGAUAACACCUAGCAACUAUUAGUAAAGAUGACCUAAUGGUUGCCUAAUGCCCAGCAAACCUGACUUUUAUUAUUAUUAUUAUUAUUUAUUUUUUAUUUUUUUUUUUUGUCUUUUUGCUAUUUCUUGGGCCGCUCCCGCGGCAUAUGGAGGGUCCCAGGCUAGGGGUCGAAUCNACGCCGGAUCGUUAACCCACUGAGCAAGGGCAGGGACCGAACCCGCAACCUCAUGGUUCCUAGUCGGAUUCGUUAACCACUGCGCCACGACGGGAACUCCAAACCUGACUUUUAAAUUCGAACACACCCCUGAGCCCUGGACGUUCCCCUCUUGCCAUUAUGACAUGUGGGGUGAAGGUGGGAGGAGGCCUCCGUCUGGCAGAGGCCCCUUUAAAAAUGUACCCGGGUUCCUCCUCUGCCAACCAAGUUCUAAAAAUAUUACUCCAGCAAAAGCUGAAAUAUUUGCAGAGAAAACUGAAUUUCCUGCUACCCUCACCCCCUCCACUCAAAUGGGCCUGCUGCCAUCCUUCUCCCUCAACUGUGGGGGCCAGCGAAGACAGAGGAGAUGUUUUGAAAUCUGAAGAGUCAAGGAGGAUAACUGCAGCACCGAAGGCCAGCAGGUUAACAGAGUGAGGUAGCCUGCUGCCCAAAGCAGCCUGGCCCAGCAUUCCACGGUGCUUCUGUCCCCUUUCCUUGUUCAUCUAUUCAAGAAUCAGAGGUUCAG
RNAcentral lists this long non-coding RNA (766 nucleotides) under Sus scrofa (pig). RNAcentral's name for it is "lncRNA (ENSSSCG00050050454.1)". The record is from RNAcentral. Lineage: Eukaryota; Metazoa; Chordata; Mammalia; Artiodactyla; Suidae.